CUUAUUAGACUUCAACUUAUAUUUGUAAUGUUUUAUAAUAAAUGUAUUCAAUUAUUCAUUCAUCUACUCCGGUUAAACAUUUCUAUCCUUGACCCUGUAGCUUUUCUGGGUCGAUAACUUGUUUGGUUUGCAAAAUAUUGGUUAAAAUAUUGAAGUAAAGGCUACUCUUUGGUUCAUUAGAAGAAGGCAGAUGUGAAAUGGACAAUUAGAACAAGGUAUUGUAAAACUGACAGACUAAUAGUUUAACUUCAAUAGCUCAUAGAAAAUGCUAUUUAUUACAAGUUUCUAAUAUAAUCCAAUAGCCAGCUUCUUUGCCAAGUUAAGAAAGCCCUGAAACUAGAUGUCCUUGGAUUCAAUUCUCAUCCCCAGACCAUCACACAGUAUUUAAUUAAAGCUUGCACAUGUGCAUCGAUGAAAUGCAGAAACACACUGCUACUUCUCGAUAUUAUAAAGCUAACUAGUCAUUUUCCAUGAGCCAAACCAAAAAGAAAGCUCAGGUGGCGUCUAGACGUAGCUUGUACAACCAUUGACACAAUUAAAUUCUCAUCAGGUGCGACAGAAUAAAAGAGGAUUUUGCUACAGGUACCCGAAGCUUUAAUCAAUUAUACGUAUACCGUACACAUUUGUAUAUAUACUGUUGGAAUCAUGCCAGACGACGUGGAAACCACGCCGUAAAGGCGAACAAAGUUCCCGACCUGCACCAAGCGAAUCUGAGACGACUGCAACAAAAAGAUAUACGUAUUUAUGGAUAAUUAGAUCCGUGAGAGACAGUGUGCGCGUGAAAUUUUGAGAAGGGUUUGGUUGAUUUGGAAAAGCUAGUAGGGAUGGUUAUUUAUAGCUGGAUUAAAUCCACGAGAUGUUGCCACGUGUCGGUAUAAAAAUGCCAGUAUAAACACUGAGAAAGUUAGGUGAACAAGAAACGGCAUUCAUAUCGUGAAGAACUUGAAACCGUAGUCUUGGAUUUGUAUUUAAUUACGGUGUUUGCCAAUUGAUGAAUGGAUUUAUUUCUCUUCUCGUGGAGCUACAGGAAUUACACGUGCUUUGUAUGUUACGAGAAAGUGGAAGUAAGGUAGAUCUCACGAUCGAUCAUAAGGCAUGAAUGUUAAGAGGGUGUUUGAUAUCCAUUUUUAUGUAAAAAUGUAUUUUAGAAUAGUAAAUUGAUGGGAAAUGAGUGGUUGAAAAAUAAAGAAAUUUUUUUGAUUUACGUGUAAUAUUAUUUUAAUAAAGAAUGUAUGGUUGAAAAGAAAGAGAGAGAAAAAUGCAUUUUGAAAAAAAUGAGUACCAAACGGGAGGUAAAUGGAUUGAGUCAGAUCACUUUAUUUAUUUAUCAUUGGGUUUGGUUCAAUUCAUUGAGCAAGAGGCUUGUUCUCGCUUGUGAGAUGAGCUUACUCAUGGGCCACUCACAACUCAUGAAUUCCCUUUUUCUUUUUUCUUUGUUCAAAGAAUAAUGGUAUUCAUAGUAAAGAUUACUAGAAGUCGUCUAACAUGGUACGAACAUGAUAAUUUGUUAUCUGAUGUAUAAAACAAUAAAAAACUACCCUAUUAUAUAUUAAAUAACAAAUUAUUAUAUGUGUGUCACGUAGAGCGACUACCGAUAAUCUUCGCUAUGAAUAAGGUUUGGAAAGCUCUCUCCAUCUUCAUCCACUUGUAUUCGAGCAUGAUGAGAUUUAAAAUAUUCACAUUUACAUUUAUUCAUUUUUAAUAUAAUUUAAAUUAUAAAAUAAAAAAUAAACAGAGAAUGUUAUCAUUCCUAAGAGUAGGUCCACUAUAUAUUUUUCAAUGAAAUUGUGAUGAACAUUAGUGCAUGAUAUAAUCCUGAACUAGUGAAUAUAAUCAUAUUAUUCGAUUUAAAAAUUAUUGCUAUUAAAUUUAACUGAUUAAAGGUUUCGAUGCGAACUAGAUCGUUGUACGAUCGGAAUCGUUUAGCAAUUGUACAAAUCAAUAGGGUUUCAUUAGAAAUCAACAAACCAAUAUCAUCAUCAUCAAUUUUUGAAAAUUCAAAAUUUUAUCACGCUGUGUUAAACUGAGUGCAACAAAA
This 2038-nucleotide long non-coding RNA is filed under the name Olea europaea (common olive). Its description in RNAcentral is "long non-coding RNA (OEUR_LNC015050)". Lineage: Eukaryota; Viridiplantae; Streptophyta; Magnoliopsida; Lamiales; Oleaceae. The record is from RNAcentral.